Molecule: long non-coding RNA, 572 nt
Filed under: Olea europaea subsp. europaea
Lineage: Eukaryota; Viridiplantae; Streptophyta; Magnoliopsida; Lamiales; Oleaceae
Rfam family: tRNA (bases 391-483)
Source: RNAcentral
AAACAGUAGUUCGAUGACCAAUUUCAUGUUUUCGAAAAGGUGAAGCACUUAAAAGUUGGAUGACCAAAUUGAUGUUCCGAAAAUGUUGGAGGACUAAAUUGCUUCUAAUCAGCAGUUAGAUGACCAAUGCUGAUAGAGGGAUUUAAGUUUACCAUGAAUCAAUUGAUUCUAUAUGACUUAUUACUACCCCUUUGACCACUUUAUUCAUACAUGGAGUCAGGGGAAAUGGAAUUUUGUUUUUUAUAUUUCAAAAUUGGACAUGUUGGAUUAUAUAUAUACGGAUAGAUGGAUCCAUCGGUAGAUUCACACCUAAGAUCUUUCUACAGAUAGUAGUGGUAUCCACCCCUAUGGCCAUGUUCUAUUCGGAUGAAUAAAUAAAAAUUGUCUUUCGAAGAGAUGGCUAAGUAGUUGAUAGCCCUGGUCUUGAAAACCGGUAUAGUUUUGAACAAAGAACUAUCAAGGGUUCGAAUUCCUCUCUCUCCUUUUUUUUCUCAUUGAAUAGAUUUUUCGAAAUGUUAAAGGACUAAAUUGCUUUCCAACAAUAGUUGGAUGACCAAAUUGAUGUUUUCGAA